Oryzias latipes (Japanese medaka) is the source of this 2276-nucleotide non-coding RNA. NCBI's taxonomy places the organism in Eukaryota, Metazoa, Chordata, Actinopteri, Beloniformes, Adrianichthyidae. The record is from RefSeq and is a predicted model, not a curated record.
UUCCUUAUUCGAGCUGCACUUCUUCAGUACGGUUGGUGUUUUGGGGAAAAGUGUUCGUCAUUUGGAUAAAAUACCAUUAAAUAAGAAGGAUGCGAAGGUUGUUAUGUUUUGUUUUGUCUUCUCUCAUCUUGCAGUGGUUCUUUCCUCUGCGCCGUGGGCGCGGCUGUGCGGCGGCCCAGUUUCAUUUUGCGGGUUCAGCCACAGCCAUCCUCUAAAGAGUCUAUCUGCUUCUUGGUGCGGUUGAAGGACUCGCAUUCAAAACGAAGAACAUGUUCAGGCAUUAAAAGACGACCACUGAGAACUGUCGGGAUCACCGGCCAAGAACAGAAAUGAGAUUUUCAGACACCGUGUUCUUCAUCUGUAAAGCACAAGAGUGGUUUAAAUUAACAUAUUGAGUUGGUUGGGAAAAUGUUAAAGAGUGUCAGGGUUUGAGGUGAACAUUUGUGCCAGCACUGGAGUAGAUUGGGUCUCAAAUACGCUCCACUGCACAAACUCCACACUUUUAGUUUCAAAUAAAGUUCUUUUACGUCUCGUAUGACAAGAAUUCAGAUCUCAAUAGAUCUUUGAAAUGUCUCUCACAGCCACAUACACAAAAUGAAGCCCAUUGCAUUUGUAUGCUGUAUGCUGAUGUUGGACAGCACGAGCGCGUAAAGUGAGCUCUUGGAAAUCCUGGGUCUUGAUGGCCAACUCGUGUUUGUCACGAACUGACUGCAGUCUUCCUGUAUUUCCGACCAGCAAUUAUGAUUUUUCCCAAAGGAUAUUCAUUUUCUUUUAGAUGUCUCGGAGCUUUAAAAACACAGAGCUUUUGGUCUUAGUGAUCAGGAGCAUUUCGGGUCAUAAAACAGACUGACCCAUGAGAAAAUCGUGCAAACUGCGAGGAUGUUAUCAAAAUGACACCGCUUUACUUUUGUGCAUGCUGAGCAUCAGCCCGCCUCCUUUUACGCACACGGGCGUAAGGGAACACAUGCACGUACGCACGCACAGGCAAACUGAGACACCCCCCUUUUCGAAAGUGGUGUCAAAUGAAAAGUUAAGAUUUUGGCUGAUUUCAAACUGGGGAAAGCAAAAGUAUGUUUUAAGCAGCAGUUAUGAUGCCGAAUGGGCGGGCAAUAGUUUUGACUCAAUGCGCACAGUGUGCUGUCCUAGUUUCGUUGGACAUUUACGUCAAUGAAUGCCCAGAUUCUAUGCAAAUAACCUUUGAAUUUCUUGACAAAGAAAAUUUGCUGCCACACAGAAAUGUUGGUUGUUUUUGUUUAUGAGUCAGAAAAAAUUGUUUUAUUUUUUUACUGUCAACAAUGAUUCCAUCUCUGCAAAUUCUCAAGCUGCGACUCAUAAACAUGAACCAGAUUUCUGCACGUAUAUGAAGCAGAUGUUAACCUGCAAUAUGUCAGAUAUUUUGAUGGCUGCAUAGCCUUUUUGGCUGUUUCAUGCUCUGAAAUCUGCUUCUGUUUUUACAUCCGAAAGAUAAUAUUUGAAUAUUUCACUGUCAUCCAAAUUUUGUCAUUCAAAUCACAUAGGAAAUCUGCACUUUAAAUGGAUUGUUUCCUACAGCAAUGUCUGUCAUUGUGUCACCUGCUUUUCCAGGGUUGUUUGAAUGAGACUCAGGCCGAAUGUGGUGCUACAGAAUUUGAAUCGUGACGCUAAAAAUGCGCGCCAUGUAGCUCUGCGCAACCUUUUUGGAACAUUAUCUCUGUCAUGCUCUCAGUUUUAUUAAGGUGCAGGUAAGCAACUAUGGUAUGGGUAUUCGUGCUUCCCCCUCCCCCAACAAAAGUCCGCAUCAGACAGGCUCUCUUCCCGUCUAGGGUCUGUCUGGAAGGACAUGAUGUCUGGUUGUCAUUUACAGCAAACCAUCAUGGCUUCUCCGCAGGACCCACCUCUGAUUGUUGCUUCCAUGAAAGCUUUUUUUUAAUAGCUCUCUGCGGCAAAUACAAAAUGAUAAACGGGCAACAUACCUGAUUUUGAAGAAAGACAGAGGAAAAAAUUAAACUAAAAAAAGGAUUUUAGCGGAAUUGGCUUUUCAGAAUCACAUAAAAUAAACAAUAACCACUUUAAGUUUUUCAAAUAGAAAUAUAGUUUUAGAAUUUGCAAGAUAUAAAGAAUAAACAUUGUUGCUCUGCACGUGUGCGUGCAGGCACGUUUCACCUAUAAAUGAGAGAUUUGGACCUCUCUCUGCAUCGUUCUCAUUUCCUCCUAAUGUCCGACCUUUGAGAUUUGUGCAACAAUUAGAAACCAUAAAACACCCUUUUCCAUUAGUUGUAGCUUGUUUUCCAAAAAAA